Molecule: small nuclear RNA, 107 nt
Filed under: Castor canadensis (American beaver)
Lineage: Eukaryota; Metazoa; Chordata; Mammalia; Rodentia; Castoridae
Source: RNAcentral
GUGCUUGCUUCAGCAGCACAUAUACUAAAAUUGGAACAAUACAGAGAAGAUUAGCACGGUCCCUGCACAAAGAUGACACAUGAAUUUGUGAAGCAUUCCAUAUUUAG